UACGUAGGGGGCAAGCGUUGUCCGGAUUCAUUGGGCGUAAAGAGCGUGUAGGCGGCCAGGUAGGUCGGUUGUGAAAACUGGAGGCUCAACCUUCAGAGGUCGACCGAAACCAUCUGGCUAGAGUCCGGGAGAGGAGAGCGGAAUUCCUGGUGUAGCGGUGAAAUGCGCAGAUAUCAGGAAGAACACCCGUGGCGAAAGCGGCUCUCUGGAACGGUACUGACGCUGAGACGCGAAAGCGUGGGGAGCGAACAGG
This 253-nucleotide ribosomal RNA is filed under the name uncultured bacterium. Its description in RNAcentral is "partial 16S ribosomal RNA". It matches the Rfam family "Bacterial small subunit ribosomal RNA", at positions 524 to 776 of the family's 1533-position model. The record is from RNAcentral.